Molecule: long non-coding RNA, 33399 nt
Filed under: Triticum aestivum (bread wheat)
Lineage: Eukaryota; Viridiplantae; Streptophyta; Magnoliopsida; Poales; Poaceae
Description: long non-coding RNA (TAES_LNC026932)
Source: RNAcentral
UGAGAGGAAUCUGAAGCCCGCGGCGGCGCUCAAUGUUUACAAGAGUUCUUCUUAAUUUGUCUCUCCUUUGGUUACAGAAUUACAGUUUCUAAUUUGGUACUAAUAGAUCAAGAACUAUAUGAAUUUAACAGUUUAUAAGUCUCUCUUUCUUCACAAAUCAUGAAAUAGUACUGUGGUAAUGUUUACAAGUCCAAUCUGAUUGCUGCAGGUCACUUGCUAGAAAUGUUUCAGAGAUUACUGACAGAGUUCUUCAAACCUUUUCGAAACAGAGCUUCGGACUAUGCCUCACUCACAGAAACAUACUUAUAAUGUAAGAAUUGGGUACUAUCCUUUUUUCACAGAUCAACAAAUAGUUGUACACACACACACACCAAUGUGAUCACUAAACUAACCACAAAUGUUUCACAGGCAGAACCUCAGACAGUAGUAGUCUGCAAGCUAUGCAUCACUAACUUAUUCAGCUACAGAAACAAAUAAUAGCACUUCAGACAAAUGUAACAAACACCACAUGGAAAAGAAUAAACACAGGGCUGAGAUUGCCUCAUUUGUGUACCGCUUUCUUGAUCGCCUGCUUGCAUUUGCUGAGGAACUUGCUGCUGCUCGUAGAAACCAAAUCCUCAUAGCCGUAUCUACGAUCAUCGUCGCCACCCACCUUAGGUUUCCUGCCUGCACAGUCUGAGCCUCUUCUCAUUCCCAGGAUCUUGGAAGGAGAGGAUGGGAGGGACCGGAAACCCCUACCGCUGUCCGACCUCGGGAACCAGAUCUUCCUUUCCACUUUCUCCUCCUUGAUGUCAAAGCUAUCCCUGCAUCUUGGGGUGCCAUGGUGAGUAGCAGCAUCCUCACCACCAACGUCGACGAUCGCGUCAACACAUUCAGUGAUCUCAUCAACACAUUCAGUGAUCUCAUUCCUGCAGCUCUCGUCUUCGUCACCGAUUCUACUUUGGAUUUCCUGCUCAUCAUCCGAACCGUUCUCCUCGGCGGCAUUGUGAUCUUCCGAGGAACGGUAUGCCACUUCAUUUCCUUCUUCUUGUUGGUCCUCCAUGAGCAUAUGAAGCCACUUAUCAACAUGUCCCUUGCCUCUGUAGUUCAUGUUUUCAUUGUCUUCUGCUCUGGCAACACGUCGAGGAUGAAGCAUUUCAUCAUCCUUUUGCACUGGUAGUGACUGCUCUGUGUGGUACCUCGGCGUCCCGUACACGCCGGUUGCUCUAUAUGGAGGACUUGGUGGAACCGAGGGGGUCCUUGGAAAUGAGACUGUCUGGCUUGCAUGAUGAGAUCUUUCGGUCUCGGACUCAAGCAUGGCUGCCUUGCCCUUACCAUCUCUUGACUUGAUAGGUGUACCAACACCCCUUGAGACCAUGCUCUCCUUUCUUUCCCUUCCCCUGCUAUGACGCCGCUCUCUGAUCGCCGAUUGUUCUAGUUUUUCCCUUACUGACGCUCUUCCUCUUUCAGUGUAACUCAUGUUUUCAUCGGUGGAGAUGGACCUUCUUGGGAAGCUUAUGACCUUGGAAGGUUGUUCAGUGUUGACAUAACUCAUUGUUGAAGUCCCUUCUCCAAUCUCUCCCCCCUCCAGGGAAAUGUUGUAUGCAUCUGAAGUCCUCUGAGCCUCCUCCAAGAAAACCCUCAGUUCCUGUUUCAGAGGGCUGCUCCUCGAUACUCUUUCUGGCAAGUACCUGAAACUCUCACAGUGCCUUUCCUCUGGGAUUUCAUCGUCGACCCGGUACCUCUUCCUUGCUUGAUCAAUGAAUGGCUUCACCUGCCUCUCCAGAUCAUCUCUGUGCUGGUACUUCUUGCGGAGCUCGGUUUCAGAUGAGUCACACAUUGCUCUCUGGGCCUCCAGUCUCGCCAUCAGAGUACUGGUUGCAGUCUGGUUCAGCCUGAGCUGUUCCUUGUACACAACACUCCUGCAUUUUGCACCACAAUGAAAAAUUAGCACCAGUUAAUCAAGAUUCUGCAAAGAAACUAGUAGCUCUUGGUUUUAUAGGAUCAUUCUUACUGGUGCAUGGCGUCUCUGAUCAUCUUCUCGAGCACUGUCUUGUAGUUGGCCUGGGCGUCUGCCAAGCGACGGCACUUCUCUACCCGCCGACGCCUCUUGAUCAGUUGGGCCUCCAGGUCCUGGAUGGCUACCCUCUCCUCCUCAUUCUUCUGCUGCAUCUCCGCCGCCUCCUUCUCCAGUUCAGUGAGCUCAGCUUGCUUCUUCUUCGCCUCUUCCCUCUGCCUCAGCGAGUCCCUAGCCAUGGCUAUGGACAAGUAAGGAUUGCUGAUGUAGCCGUCGACAUCUGGGUUGUUGUUCUCUUUCAUCAUCGAGUUACCACCAUGGCCGUGGGCUGCCGCCAUGUUCUCGUCCUUUUCGCCGGAGAACUUCUUUGCAGCUACAGGAAAAGCAGUCCCAGCAUCAUCCAUAGCUCAUAUGAAGAUGUUGCAAAAACGAGGAAAUUAAUUCAAUAAGUAAGUUCUCUGACAAGCGCAUACCGAUCAAAGGGUAAUUGGACCUCACUGGUCUGUUGGCGUCAAUGGAUUUGAGCACCGAGUUGUCGGAGCCCCUGGCGGAGACAAUGGCGGCAGGCGCGAGGCCUAGUUUCUUCUUCAUGUCGGCGAAAUGGUGCGGGAACGCGUGCGCCUCCACCGCCUGCAGCGAGCUCAGCUCCUCGUUGGCCCCAUCGGCGAAGAGGAACGCGAAUGCUCUGUUCCUGAAGUCGGUGUUCUUGGAGGCGAAGAUGGAGAGGAACUGGUUGACGGAAAUUCCGAGCUGCAGAUCCCACCACGGGACGAGGAACUCGAGCUUGUUGUGCUUCUUCCUGGACGCCUGCAGCUGCAUGAUCCGCAGGUUGCUCGGAACCGUCCUCCCUCCCCCUGCAGAUCGACGAAGACCAAGCAUCCAUCCACCGUUCGUCAGAACUUAGAACCAUGUGGUAAAUUCAGAACAUGUAAAAUUCUUCUUACUGGCGCAGGGGAACCAGUGGUGGACGUCCCAGGCGAGGGGCGAGGCGGCGUCGGCGUGGAGGUAGAGGACGUUCCCGUAUGCGUCGACGCGGAAGAGCGCCGGGUCGAAGCCGGCGUUGCCGAGGUGGUGGAGCUGCUUCCAGAGCAGGUUGGCGAAGCCGCGCGGGUUGGCGGUGGGCGCCGCCUCCGCGUCCACCACCGGGAACGUCUCGUUCAGGUCCUUGGCCCGCAGCGCCUGCACGCAGCAGAUCAGAUCAUGACACACGACGCGGCGUGGAAGCGGGGAGGAGAGAAGGGCGAGCGGGAUCUGCGGGAGAGAAGGCAGGCAGGUACGUACCUCGUGGGGCUGGAGGACGUAGGGGAGGAAGGCGCCGGGCGGGCCGUGGGCGUAGGGCAGGCCGAGCGCGCCGCCGCCGCUGCCGGCGGCGCGGCAGAGCCUGGCGUAGGCCUUGGGGUAGCCCAGCGCGUCGUCCACCGCCCUCUCCUCCUCCGUGAACGCCGCCAUCGAUCCGCGAACGCCGCCGGCGAACCUAGUACUAAUACAGUCUACGGAGCAAUGUUGACUGAUGUGUCGGGAAUCGGGAUCAGGUGCCUGAUCGGUGAUGACUGAGGUGAGUGGGGAGGGGGAGGAGAGAGCCGUUGGGUUGGAGCUGGUUCAAACUCGGCACGUGAGGGCCACGUGGGGGCCGGGCGAGUAAGGCUGGCUUGUGGGCCGGCGGUGGACGGCAGGACGCCAUUUCUUCGUCCUGUGCUCGCUGUAGGCACAACUGGCGUACCACGUACCGUGGUAGUAGUAAGUACAUGUACGUGGUACAGCGCGAGAUUGUAUACAUGUAUUAUUUCUCCUUAUUUAUGGCGACGAUUAAUUGCGGAUUGAUGUGGGGAAAUGCUUUGAUGAGUUGGCAUUGAUUGAUUCAUCCGUGCGUGUCAGAAGGACACAAGAUGCAGAGUGGGGGCCGCGGAGUUUUAUUUAGGACGGCACGGCAGCCCGUCCACACACACAGAUGGAUUUAAAAUCCAUGGUUUUGUUUCUUUCGGCCGGUUUGAAAUGAAGAAAGUUUAAAAUAAACCUUGAACUUAUAGAGGAAAGCUAAAUCAAACCCUGAACUUGUAAUCCCGAAUAUUAGCACACCAAAUUCUCCGCUCCCGGUCUAUUUUCUUGAGGGUGUUUAGCUGCUAUACUCGCUGAUGUGGCAAGGAUACAUGACUGACUUGUUUUUUUUUUUUGAGAAAAAGCUACUUGACUGACUGGAUACUAGGAUAAAUCGGUCCAGCCCAUCAACGCAGUUGCUUGGGCACUCGCUCUGUUCUGUUUUUCAUUUUUCGUUUUCUGCGAACCCACUUGUCUUGUAUCAGGAGCGAUAAAAAAUACUAGCAGUACGUAAUGUGCCUGACAGGAUUCAAACUAGUAACCUCGGGAGUGGUGGCCGCACCUAGCCAACGCAACUGAAGGAUGCAAUUGAUCCGAUAUUUUUUAUCGUAUUUCAUAUAUGAAUUGUUUUCGGAAAAAUUAUGAAACAUUUUCUUGGAAAAACUGUGAACAGUUUGAAAUACAGAAUAUUUUUAAAAGAAAAUAAUUUACGAAAUUCCAAAAACUUUUUUGAACAAUGUGACACAACAACAUUGUGCAAACUACACGUUUAACAUAUACUUAAUGACAAUAACAUUUUUUUACAUUGUAUAAACAUUUUUAAAAAAUUGUUCAGGUUUCGGAAUUCGUACCUGUUUUUAGUUUAAAAUAUUUAUGUCCAAAAUAGUGUUCACUUUUUAAAAAUUGAUUGUGUUUUAAUACAAUCAAUUUUUUGAAAAAUUAUUCAGAAUUUUUAAACAAUGUUCGCAGUACAAAAAAUUGUUCAGGCCAGCAUGUCUUAAAUACUUUCUGCUACAGUAGCUCCUAGUUUUUCAACAAAUGUUUGCUAUGGUUCCUCCUAGUUUUUUUUUCAUCUUUCAGAUAAUGUUCACAUUUUGAAAUGUUCAAACUUUCAAAAACAGUUCAAGAUUGGAAAAAUCUUAUAGUUUAAUUUUUUUUUCUCAUGACGUCCAAAAUACUUGCGCUAUAUUUUAAAAAAAUUCUGAACAAUUGUCGAAAACACUAUUUUUCAAUUUGUGAUAGAAAAUCGAAAAUAGGAACAUUUUUAAAUUACUGUACAUAUUUUGAAAUGCAUGUAUUUUUUUAUGAUCGAAAGGACGAACAUUUUAGAAAAAUACACAAUUUUAAAACACGAACAUUUUUUCAUCUCUGCAAAACGCAAGUAGUGAGCCGGCCCAAAUACUCGUCAGGGAGAGUAGUACCUUAUCGGCCGUGAUUGUUAUAUUCCCGGUGCCCCAAAUAGGUCUAGGGUCCAAAAUAGAUCGGGAUUGAUAAGUUCAGAAUGCUAAUUUUCGGGAUUUAUAGUUCAGGGUUCGAUUUAUCUUUCAUCUACUAAUUCAAGGUUCAUUUUGGACUUUUUCCGCUUGAAAUCCGUCCGUGGUGAGCACGAGCCCAAGACGACGCCACCAACUCGCGCGCACGCAAGCCUAUCUAUCGUCCGUGCGAAAUGACAAGCGACGACAACCGCGAUGGCCCAAACGAAUGGCCGAGGGGGCUGAAAUUCUUUUUCUAGAGCCAAGGAGGCUGAAGUUGCGUGGAUCGUGGCGGCACCACGCUCUCCGUGUGAAAUGUUUUAAACCCGUUUUCUGAAUAUUCUUUUAAUUUUUUGAACCCCUUUUGAACAAUUUUUAUAAACACAGACAAAAUUUUUGAACCUGAACAAUUUCUGAAAGUCCAAAUUUUUUUAAAACAUAUUUAACAUGUUUUGCAAUUUUUGAUUUUCUUAGAAAAGGAAAAGAUAAAAACAAAAGCACGGUAAGAAAAACUAAACAAAACAGAUUCAGGAAACAUCUGGAAAGAUUCAAAAACGGGUAAAAACAGACAAAAAACACUUAAGAAGGCUCGCAAACCAAGGACGACGUAACCUAUAUAGGCCGGCCAACCUCGCAAUUCCCUUGUGUGAAACCUUGACUAUGAUUGUCCUUAUUUUUGUUGCCAUCAUUUGUCGCAGCGAGCAGGGCACCGGACGGGCGACGUGCCGUCUGGGCACUUAUAUGGAGGUGCCCCGCUCCACCAAAGCUGUGUAUAUUUGCGUGGAAGUUCGUAUCAAACUCGUUGGCCACUUGGGCUAAUAAUAAUACCCGAACGCUGGAGCCUACUGACGUGUGUCCGCUCUGUGUGAUGGAACUAGAUGAUACACUUCAUGUAUUCUAUAGGUGCCCUCGAGCGGUGAAUCUUUAGGCUUUAGCGUGCUAUGGCGAAACAAUGGAACUUGCCGAACAUAGCCGAAAUUCAGAAUACUGAUGUUGAAUGGCUCUUCGACGUGUUGCAUGAUCAAGGCGACAUUCACUGCAUGCGAUUACUGAUGGUCCUAUGGCGCUCAUGGCAUGUACGUAAUGAAAUAGUCCAUGAUAAGAAGCCUCUCCCUGUCGAAGCAACAUGCAGAUUUUUGCUCAGCUAUGACGCACCUUUGCUUGCUAUCAAGCAGUACCCAUCAGAUGAUCUUGUGAAAGGUAAAAUGGUGUUAGAUGUUAACGCAAGCCGGCCAGGGCCAGUUUCACAUGUGGCGGCGACCUAGUCUGGCAACCCCCAGGCCAAGGUGGCAUGAAGCUUAAUGUUGACGAAUCGUACAUCACAACUAUUGGAGAGGCGGGCGCUGGAAUGGUGUUGUGAGAUAGCAUUGGUGAGAUCAUCUUUCGGCUUGCAGAGCCUAUAGAAUUCCGCAAGUCCCUAGCUGAAUUAGCAACCUACUUGAAAGGUCUGAAAGUUGUUAUGCAAUGGUCACCACUCCCAGUGGAUGUAGAGAUGGACAGUCAAGUUACCAUGGGCUCUAUCCAGGCACGAGGUGAGGACACAUUGCGGAAUGCGAUGUUGAUUCAGGAAAUGAGGACACUUCUCGAUGAAAGGGAUUGCUCUAUUACUCACAUUAGUCGGCACCAAAAUGUGGUCGAUCAUAUGUUAGCUUCUUUCGGUCGUGUAGAAGCUAGGAUAACAGUCUGGCUAAUCUGGCCCUGCUAAUGUACCACAACUUUGUCCGGAGCUCUCUGUCCAUUUUGAGCAAUAAAAUCACUUUUAAGCCCGCUAAAAAAAGACCAUGACCAUCCUUGCGCUAAAAAUAGAGAGACUAUGAUCGGCCAGUAGGAAAGUCGCUAUAUGUCCUCCUAUUGCUCCUGAUUCGCGGGAGCUAUAAUGUCUCGCAUAUUGCGACUCCGCCUCGCAUAGAUGGCCCAACCCAAUAUGGGUUCCUACGAAGCGGGUCGUAGGAAGCUUCUAGGCGUUCUUUUCUUCUAUAUAUUUUUGUGUGUUUCUCCAUCACUUUUCAUUUGUUUUCUCUUUUUUUCACAAGACAUAUCUCUUUUUAAGUACACAUUGUACAUUUUUUGUAUACACAUGGAACACUUUUUUAUACUUGUUGAAUAUUUUCUUAAUGGCACAAAAUAUUUUUCAAAAAUCACGUGAACAUUUUUGUACGUCAUAUAAACAUUUAUAAAACACAUGGAUUUUUUUAGAAAAUUUUGAUUUUAUAAUUAUCACGACUAAUUUUUCGAAUUACGCGAAAAUAUUCUUAGAUUGCACCAUUUUUUAAAAGAUUCCACAGACCAUUUUCUUGAAAUGCUUCAUUUUUUUAUGUCGCGUGAACAAUAAAUUUACUCUAUGUUAAUAUUUUUAAAAAUGUACUAUGAACACUUCUUAAUAGUUUUAAUUACUUUUUUUUUGAAGUAUAUAUAUUUUGAAUACUUUUUUGAAUAUAAACAAAAAAUAAAAAGACACAAACAGAAACCAAGCAAUGAACGAAAAAAGGAAUCAAAGCAAACUGGGUCGGCCCAAUUUAGUGGUGUCUUGAAGCGAGUGGCUGUUCGGUCUGGCACAAGGUGUGACAUAGCCGUGGCAAUUUCUAUUUGGCGCUGUAGGCGCCGGUUUCUACAGUUUUUCAAACCGGCGCCUGUAGCAGCUACUCACGCGUCUUAGUUAGGCCGGUCCAUAUUUCAUUUUUUCUUCUGUUUUCUAAACUAGAUUUAAACACGCAUCACACGAUAUCAGUGAUCGACGCGUAACCAACCCGACGACUUCACUAGGUGUGAUAACAUAUGUGUUUUACCUUCAUUUAUUCAUUCCUUUUUUCUCUGACCUUUUCUUCUUUCUUUUUUCAAAUUGGUAAUUCUUUUCUUCAACUACAUGAACUUUUUUUAAAACUCAUGAACUUUUUGCAAAUUGACAUUUUUUUUUCAAAAUCAAUGAAAUUAUUUUUAAAAUUUUGUGUUUUUCUCAAAAUCAAUGAUUAUUUUUUCAAAAUCGAUGAACUUUUUCAGAAUCGAUGAACUUUUUUAAAAACUUGAUGAUAUUUUUUAAAAAAUUUAUGAACUUUUUCUAAAUUGUUUUCAAAAUUGAUGAACUUUUUUUGGAAUCGAUGAUUUUUUUUUGAAAUUCGAUGAACUUAUUUCCAAAAUCGAUGGUCCUUUUUCAAACUUGUGAACUAUUUUCCAAAUCUAUGAUUUUUGUUUUGCAAAUAAAUGAACUAUUUUCAAAUCCAAGGUUUUUUGGUACAAAGUGAACGAGCAAGAGCUUUUUUUCUUCUGAGAAAUGUGAGCGAGCCAGUUGGUUGAUGCGAGUGAUGCCACAGACGCAACACUCAUCGCUAGCGCUCGAGGAAGGAAAAUAUAAUGGGCCUCAGCCCAGCCAGAUCUAUAGUGUGCGCCAGCCAUUGUUCAGGAAAUUUGUAACUUGUAGCUGCUCGGUCGGCUUGGGAGUAGUGAUUAAUUGGUGAAUCCGCCUAUUAAUUGGAUUAGUCAGUAGAUUAAAUAGGAAUUGCCAACAUAUAUCUACUUUUCUAUGUAUUAUACCUUAGUCUCAUGCUCUCAACUAUGUAAUAUACCAAAAUAUGCUACUGGUUGGUCGAACCCUAGCUAUUGAGGAUUGAGAGGGGAUGGGAGGUGUUACAGGGAAAUUUUUUGGUCUUCGUUUGCCCACAAGUUAAUGGGUCGGCAACGGUUAAUCGGCCUAACGGCCGAUUAGUUGGUCUAACGGGCCAAUUAAUCGGCUUGACAAGUUAAACUGAUGAAUAUGUGCUAUUCGAUUCGGUCACCAUACAAGUAGCGAUUAACUGGCCUGUUAACUGAUUAAUCGGAUGAAUUCUUGAACAGUGGCGCCAGCAGGAAAAAUCGACGCCUGCGUUUCACUGGGCUUCAUGAAAAUCCAUGUCGACACAAGCAUUGCAAGAAAUCGGAGCUGGGGAGCGGCCUCGGCCAUGUGUAGAGAUGCAGAUGGUUACUACAUUGGAAGUUCUUCUCUGGUUAUUGAUGGAGUGAGCGAUGCUGCAACUAUGGAAGCAAUUGCCUGCUGUGAGACACUCUCCUUACCAAAUGACUUGAUGAUACAGAGCUUUGUGGUAGCUUCGGACUCGAAGCAGAUUGUGAGCGAGAUACACAAUGGCUCUAAUGGUAUAUAUGGGGCCAUCAUCUCAGACAUAAAUAAUAGCGCUCUUUUGUUUAAUUGCAAGUUUACUUUUGAAGGCCGAGUGGAUAAUCGCGACCCCAAUAGGUUAGCCAAGUGUUCUAAUUCUCUAGAUCAGGGGAGUAAUAAAGCUUGGUGAUCCUAAAAACCGACAAAACGGCGUCUGCAGCGCCGAUUAGGUCCCCGGCUGGGUUGGCCUAGAGAGUUGUACCACGAUGUCAAACAAAUUUGUGGCUGCGAGUGGGCUCGGGCGAUGAGGCCAUAUUAUCAAAAGAAAGCCCAUGUGAUAUAUGUCAGACAGUUGAAGUAGUAGCACACUCGAAAAAUAAAGUUGAAGUUUUACUCAAAAAAUAAAUAAAAAUAAAGUGGAAGUAGUAGUACCCUAAAAAUAGUUGUUCUAAAAAAAGGUUCAAGUCGUCUUUAAUUCAAAGGAUUCUCAAAUGAAUUUGAAUUAUAACAAGAUAUAAUGAAAUUAUGAAAGGUUUUAAUUAUCUACGGGUUCCUGAAAAAAAAGGGAGGACACGGCCUGAAAAUUACCAAGAACACCUGAGAGAAUAUCUUUCGUUCUUGAAAAGAAAUGUUUUUUCUCUAAAAAAUUCUUUAAUUUUUUCAUAUAAGUGCCACGCCAAGAAAACCAGACACGUUGCACACAUGUCAGCAAAAUCACUGGCCACGUACAAGAAAUUUAAACUCAUCCUACGAAGGAAAAUGACACAUGCCCAAGAUUACCAAGCAGAGCAACGAGGGGAGAAGGGACACAAAUAAAAAGAAGCGUAUACUAUUUCCAAGCAUUUACACGUCGCACUGGCAUCCCCAUGGAAAUUUCCCCUGCACUACACCUAGCAGAGCUAGCCUCCUCCUCCCAAUGGGCAAUGGGCAGCAUCGCUUUGCAAGAUUUGGAUCAAACCCCCCGUCCCUCCCGCUAGACUACUCCGAGAAGCCCCUUUCGCAUCCCAACAGCCGCACCCGCACUUUACUUGACCCGCCUAAAAGCAAACCUCUGUCUCUCCCACCCUCUCUCCAUCUCCACCGUAUGCAUGGCCGCCGGAUUCCCCCCGUCCCUCUCCUCGCUCCAGGAUGCCUCUUUCCCGGGAUCCCCUUUCCCUUUCCCCCUUGUCUUUGCUGUCUGUGAGCACCUUCGCCCCUGAACCCUUUAAAGCCCAAGAGCAAAGAGCAUAGAUUCCAUAACUCCGCUCUCACUCUCAGAAACCUUAUCCCCAUGACCUGACCCCCGUGUAUCAUGCAUGCUCAUCGCCGUCUCUUUUCCAUCCGUUUGGUCUCUGGCUGCUAGUACCAUUGUAGCUGCAUGCGUGAUCGACGCUGCUAGUACCUUCAGGGUUCAGACGAUUGUUGUCUUUGCCCUUUGGCGGCUCCAUCAGCUAGCCCGGUCGUUGGGGUUGGGGGCCAGUUCCAGUCCAAGAGGCAACGUAACAACACGCAGUGAUCGGCGGCUGGCAGCUUGGAGGCAGGGUAAAAGCGACGUGCAGCCAGUAAGAGCAACUCCAACGCAGCAACCCAAAAUGUCCAGCUAUGCCCGUUUGGGUCGGCGCGAACAAAAGUGGAGACCCAACGCGUCGACCCAAACCCAAAAUGCGUCCGCGCUGACGCAUUUCGGCACAAAUUAAGCGGACGCCUCGCGCGCCUUCUCGGUGUCUGCCUCGUCCCCACCUGGCGGCCGUCCAACUACCCCGCGGAUCGCCCACCUCGGGCCCACGUGUCAGCGACAACGAUCGUACUUUCUUAAGCCGAGCGUGCAGGGAGGCCAUCCUCAUCUGCUUCCAGAAAGCCCCCGUCCCCAUCUCGCUACCCUCUACUACCCCAUCGGUGGCAACCAUAGCCACCUCUAGCCAAGCAAAGAUGGGGUUCUUCUCUGCCUUCGGCAUCGGCAAAGCCAAGGACAAGGCCCCCGCCAACCCUCUCCNNNNNNNNNNNNNNNNNNNNNNNNNNNNNNNNNNNNNNNNNNNNNNNNNNNNNNNNNNNNNNNNNNNNNNNNNNNNNNNNNNNNNNNNNNNNNNNNNNNNNNNNNNNNNNNNNNNNNNNNNNNNNNNNNNNNNNNNNNNNNNNNNNNNNNNNNNNNNNNNNNNNNNNNNNNNNNNNNNNNNNNNNNNNNNNNNNNNNNNNNNNNNNNNNNNNNNNNNNNNNNNNNNNNNNNNNNNNNNNNNNNNNNNNNNNNNNNNNNNNNNNNNNNNNNNNNNNNNNNNNNNNNNNNNNNNNNNNNNNNNNNNNNNNNNNNNNNNNNNNNNNNNNNNNNNNNNNNNNNNNNNNNNNNNNGGCCAGGCAGCGCGUGAACAUGUCAGUGCACCAAGCGGAGUGGCAUUGGCAGCACCGCAUCCCUCUCCCCUACCUGGACGUCACCCUGCCGCACGACUGACAUUUGGAUCCGGAGAGGAUCCCAGUGCCGGCGGCACCGCGGUCGGCUAGGGCGCACGCGGAGGAGGUGUGGCGCCGACGGGCACUGCUGAUGCCGGAGCAGCGCAGCGACGCCGCAUGCGACGUCGACUCACCCUCUUGGGCUCGUUGGUUCGCCUUCGAGCAUGAGGAGGCGAGGCAACGCGGCGUCCACGAAGUCGCCCGCAGCUCGUCGCCGCCCCCCAUCGUCGUUCGCGACGAGGACCAGGAGGCGGAGGCCGCCUACCUGGCGGCCAUGGCGGCUGUCCUCCGGGAGAGCGAGGAGGAGGAGCGGCGCAGGGCGGCGGCGACGUCGGAGGAGGAGGAGGCGUACCAGGCGGCCAUGGCGGAGGCCAUGGCGUUGUCCGCAGGGGGCGACUCCGUCGUGCCGCCGAUAGCCACCCCGUCCCCAGUCAAGGCCUAGCCGGAGCCGGCGCCCGUCGAGCGCUACUCCUGGAACCGAGUAGUGCGCGAGUGGGUGAGCGCGCCGCUGAUCUGGCGCGGGGCGACGGAGGCGCAGGAGGCAGCGUACCUCGAGCAAUGGCGCCAGCGAUGGCUGGUCGGGUACUCGAGCAGCUCGAGCACGACGCCGAGGAUGAGCAGCGCGAGGCGGAGGAGGAGGCGCGCCAGGCCCAAGCAGCAGCGGCACAGCCCGCGCCCGACAUCGCCGUCGCCUGGAACACGGUGUUCUCCUGAACCGGCCCUGCGUCGACGCUCAUCAACCUCACCGGCCCCGACGUCGACUACGAGGACACUUAGGGCAGCGCGCCGUCUCGUAGUUAACUUUUCUUUAUGUUAAUUAAUGUAAAUAUGAACACAUGGACUCUUGCCGGCCUUCGUGGCCGGCUUUAAUGUUUAAUUAAUGUUUAUUUUUAUUUUCAAAAUGUUUGUAUUCUUUUUUUUUCACGCACCGUUAAAAUGGAUUGGCCCAGCGUUGGGCGCAUGCGCCGAUCCAAACGUGAAAGCGGACGUUGGUGUCCGCCGGGCCGACCCAAACGGAAAAACACGGACAAAAUUGUUGUCCGUUUUUGCUCUAAGUAAGGGUGCGGUCUGAACUCUGAACGGAGAAAACAACAGAAGUACCACGACGUAUGACCUGAAAUGUUUGGCUGCAAAGGUUAAAGUGGCCACGGAAAGAUUUAGCCUUCCAUGUCACUCAACUCAAUGCGACGCACUCUCAGCCUGUCACCCAUGGAAAACUGCAGUUUUGCAGAGCGGCAGGGUUCAGAGUUCAGACGAAUUGUUGGCGUGCAGUGCAGAGAUUUUCCUUUUACCAGUACUCCUCCUGUGGAUUUGUAAAGUGCUGAGCUAGAAAAGAUACCGCCAAGACCACUACAUGUCAUGCUAAAACAUACCAGUACCGUAGUACUCGUACGUGAAUUUCGUAGCAACGAACAUGAGUUGCUUUUGAUUGUAAAAUCUGAACCCUGAAGUGACCUGACCUGUCACUCCCAGUUCGCCAGUAUUAUACUACCAGUUCGACCUUCUUCCCAUGGUUCCUGUAACGUAAAUCGAGGCGCAUGCAUUGGACGAUUGGAUGGAUUGUUCAUGGCUCGUUGCGGUAGGGUGGAAUCCAUCCGUAAAGUCUACUCCACACCUAGCUCGUUGCGGAGGGUACGGAGCAAGAGGCGGCAUCUUCAUGUCGAUCAUCAUCUUCGUGUAGUAAUCAACGUGGAUCAUUUCAUGGGAAAAGAGGCGGGUUCUCGAAGGUAACCAACCAACCGUGGAUGGAGGCUUAAAGCCGUCGCUUAAUCAGUGGAUGAUGCAUGGAAGUGUGUGAGGAACGGAGGGAAGGCGUCGGCUACCAUUUGUGAGUACGUUUCUUUAUGGAUGGAAAGGAAGACUACGAAACUACUCGAGUUCGAAUUUCCAAAUGAUUGCAUUGUGUCGGUUAUGCCACAAAAGAUGGGUGUGUUCUCAAGGGCAAGGUCUUUCCUUUUGUUUUCUGAAGAAACCUAAGAUGGUCCUGAUGUUUUUUCUUAACGAGAGGUAAAAUUUCACGUGCUUGAAAAGAUGUAUACAGACAAAAAGAAACGAGGUUAACUAGGCGUUGGUUGAGUAAUCUCAGAGAAGAUUCAAGCCAAGCAAAUCUUCAAACUCUUCAGAUUUCUGAUGGACAAUUUUUCUACAGCAUUUGUCGAAAUCCCUCGAGGUCGAAUCGAAACCUAAUCACAUACCUCUCCUACUUUUAGAUAAUAUCAUCGGUCUCCAUUUGCAUGGAAAGGGGAAUGAAUGUCAAUCAACGAUGAUGGAUGGGGCUGGAGGAUAUGAGGAACAUUCAGAACGCAAUCCGAAUCGGCCCGGCAAGAUAUGAUAUUUCACAACAACUCUUUCCAGGAUCUCUUUCUCUGUGUCCACUCGAGUCGGAUGGUGCUUCACUCCUCAUCGAACCUUAACCCCCGCAGGGAUUAGCAUCCUGCAGGCUAUCAGAUUCCUAAUGACCACUGGCCGUUCUUUUCCUCUGGUUGCAUCUCACACUCAUUCUCUCUUUCCUAAUCGCGCAGCUUUUCUCCGCGGCACUGAAUUAUCCCCACCAUUCCACAUAUAUUCCGCCAGCCCCACGCGUGCAUAAUGAGAUGGAAUAAUGAACUAAUUUUCUCCAUCUUUAUCUCGCCCGCUAGCAAACACGCGUGCAUGCAGGGAAUAUAUGUAUAUAUCUCUCUCUGAAGAAUUUCUUGUCCUUUUCAUGUGUACCGGACAGUCAGAUUACUUACUGGCCCAAAUGCAGAAUAUGCUCGCCUGUACCAUGCACCAUCUUCCAAGAGAUCAUGCAGCACACACACACAUACACUGAUGGGUUUGGAAGUGAGCACAUCAAGCUAGCAGUGCAACUUUUGGGAGUAUCGCUACCGAUGCCACGGGCCACUACAAGCAACACCGACGCAUUAUCCUAUAUAGUAAUGUAAAACUAACAUUUUUGGGAGCAUGCCGCACGUUGUAUCAUUGUGGAACCGAGGUGGCUGAACUCUGAAUUCUAGGCACACAACGUAAGAUUAUCAGCAAGAUUCAGAGCCACCACGUCGAUCGUCUCGGUUUAGAUAUAAAACUGAAGAAACUCUGAUGAGACGAAUCAAGGAUCGAGAUCGCGUUGGCGUGUGCUGGCGCGAGCCUCAAGGGGAUACAAAGCGCUCGGGAUAUGGGCGGAGUAUAUAGGAAGGAAAAAACAAAGCGAAAAAAUUGCCGUGGAAAGGAGAGCGAGAAAUUUUUUGCGAGACGAGAGAGAGACAAAGGCGUAGCGCUAGGGUAGAGUGCAGCAGUCGGUAUGGGGUUGGGGCAGCGGGAAAUCUCGUGGAGAAUAUUCGCUGGGGUCGGUGGUGGGCGCCGGACAAAAGGGAUGCAUAUUCAGUUAUUCACGGGACGAUUUGGUGGGGGCCAUCCGCAGGACGACGCGUGUCACGAGGAGAAAGUGCCGAAAGCCGCUCUGCGCGCUCUGCACCGCACUGCACAACGGGCGGUCAGAGCGCACCGCUCCUGUACCUGCGGUGCUUGUACAGGUACUUGGAUGAUCCUCUUGACUUGGAAUCAUGGACCAACCUGCCCAUCUUGAAUUAGAGAACUUGGAUGACCAGUCAAAAAAUGAAGAGAGAACUUUCGCGACGGCUGCAUGCACUUUUUUUCGAACUCAGAUCACACUUCUUCGUGCAGAAAUGUCAACGUAAUUUUGACAGAGGAAACGAGGGUGUGGGAAAUUGGCUAGCCAUCGCGGUCAGUCACAUCUUUUCUGGUAGAUAGCUUGACUAAAUUCUUGGUUUGAGGAUUUUAUGUUUAUUUCUAGGUGAAAAUAUGGACGUGGACUUUCAAAAGUUACAAUGGAUCCUUGUCGCUCCAGCAAAGCGACUAGGGGCGGCAAACCAUAGUUAUCAUAUGGUUUGGCCGUGGUGGCGGCGGGCCUUGCUAGCCUACAUGGCUUCCUUGCACGCGGAACCGAAAACUAGCAGGAUGGAAAUCUAUGUCACUCCAGCAUUGGGUUGAUCGUAGGUGGCGGCGGUUCGCAAAUUUAGACAAACUCGACUCGUUUCGACUUGCGAGUAGCAUUGCUGACUAGGCAUGACCAUCAAGAUGGGCAGGAUGUGGGCUCUAGAUAUGGUCUAUAUACGUUUGCUAGGUCGAGUUAUAAGCCAUGAUGAAGAACUUCAAGGAGCAAGGGUGCUUUUGCGACGUUCCUGGUUUAGGCUAGUGGCAAAUAGGUGGACUGGUCGGGCUUGGAUUUAAGUGGCACAUGUCCGAGCAAUACGAUGGAAAGUCGGGGUGAAGGCCUUGUCUUUGGCGUGUAUCUAUAGGAGAUGAUGUUGAUGAUGCGUGGGAUUAUCAUUACCGUCUUUGGCAUUGUCGGGGUGAAGCAUGCUCCUUUCCUACGCUAGGAGUGGCUUUGGUGCGUCUGCAUAGCCCCCUCCUCGGGGGCAUCCUGUUAGGAGAUGGCACUAGCCAUAAGGACUAGUGGGGAGUACCCUGUCAAAGAUGAUGUCGCAAUUUAUGCGAUAUUGACGAUGUUGGUGAGCGAACAUAGACCAUGAUAUGGAUUUCAAUGUCGGUGGUCCAGUGUGUUAGUUCGGUCUAUGCAUGUUGCUAGAUUUUGCUAUUUUAUGAUGCUUCGAGAGUUGGGUGGGAAAGACAACAAGGCGUCGAUGAUUGUGAAGGUUCAUUUGGUCGGAAGCACUCUCCAUCUAUUAGAUCGGACUAGGUUGGUGCGGGGCUUGCAACUUCCUCUUGCAAAUUUUGCUGUCAGAAAUGGAGUUAUCUCAUGGUUGACACAUCAGUUGAAUACUUUUUGGAAGGGGCGACAUGGAUUUUUUGUCGUGGUUAUCGGUGUGUUGGUGUUUUCAUAAAGUUAAAUCAAAGUCAAGAGAUCAGAGUGUGGGUGGUGACAAUGACGCUGCUCAAUGGCCACAAUGGAUAGUUUCUUAACCGUGUGUGUUGAGCAUUCGUUGGUACCCUGGUGGCAUGCUUAGAAGAGGAUGUUGUGUCUUUAUGCAUGUGUAAUCUCGGUUUUCACUCUUUUUCAAUAAUUAACUAGUCUUUAGUCUUUACACUUCAAUUGGCGAGAAAAAAAGUCAUCAUCACGUGUUUGGUUCGCGGGAAUCAGAGAUGGGGAAUGGGAGUUGAGGCGUGAAGCUAUUAAGAAUCUACCGAUUGAUUAGUGGGAUGAAAAUUUAAGUGGGAAGGGGAAUGAGAGUUGAGGGAGCCGACUCACAUUGAUCUAUUCUCAUGGGGACCUUGGUAAUUCUUGGGUUGCUCCCCAUCCUAGAUUAAUUUCUAUCAUAAAUCAAAUAAGGAAAUGGGAGUAAAAAUCUAUUUGCCACUCCUAUUCUGUCCAGAGAUUCACUUAUGCAAUUUCCUAGCCUAAGAGCAUCUGUAGACAAUCCCUUAUAAUUUAGCUUCACUCUCUAAAAAAUAUCUUCAUCAAUUCUUCUAAGUAUUGGUUUGCGUACUACAUUUCAACUACAUAUUUGCACACAUAUUAAAUCCAAAUUUAAUAAUGAAGCUCAAAGUGCAACUAAUCCUCAGGUGGUUUUAGUAAUUGAUAACAACAUAUACAUCAUUGAGCUGAUGCUUAUUCAAAGAUCAUUUCAGGAAAGUUCAAUGUAGGCAUGGCAAGGACAUGUUAUUGUAGACCCGUCAAAAUGCUAAGGAUAUACAUUGGCAAAGGCUUGAAGACUCUACAUUUUUGGCUAAGUGAUCAAAGAUCACAUUGAAUCCAUAGGAAAGCCAAUACUAGUAAAAGCGGAUGAGGCGUUGAUCAUGAGUCAUUCACUCAAGUGCUUGAAGAAAUUGCUCCGAAACUGUUGGGGAUAUAACCCCUAGGUGUGACUCGCCCAGGAGAAGUCAGGUUACACUACUGGCGACUCAUAAGUGAAGGCCCAAAUAGGCCCAAGGAGAUAAGAUGUGAAGACUGGAGGCGGUUUACCAGAAGGAUCAACUGAAGGCCCAAGACCUGGAGGAGGGCGCUGUGACCCGGAGAUGUGAGCCGCCCGAUGGUGACUUGCCUAGCAAGGCAGAGCGACUUAGAACCCAAGUUGGUCAUGUUGUGUGAUCCGACUGGGACUCUUGUAAGCCAGGGCCUCGACCUGUGUAUAUAAAGGUGAGACCCUGCGGCGGGUUAACUCAAGUUACAAUUGAUCGAGAGCUAGGUUAAGCGAUUCCGCUCCAUUGUAAUCGAUACUCAAUCAAUACAACACAAAGCAGGAAGUAGGCUUUUACCUCGUUGAGAGGGGCCGAAUGUAGGUAAACUCAUGUCCUUCGUCCCGUUCAACCCCUUCAAGCUAACAUACGUUGCGAUGGCUCCACACCUAAGUCCUUUCACGGGCAUUUGUCGUGAUAAAACCACGACAAAAACCCUCAUCCACUUUCCCACAUUCCAAUCUGUCUAGAACCCUAAGUCCAAUCUCGGUCCAACCAAAAUGCUCCUGUCCGGACCCACCAAGAUACACUAGACAAUGGCAUAAUCCUAACCUUAGAAACUCGGUUCUACCGAGAUGACAUUCGGUCCCACCGAAGUGCAGCGACUAAGUUUCUCUAACCCAUUGUGUUCACCUCAGAAUUAUCGAGAUGAACCGACUAAAAUUACCGAGAUGAGGAGUCUACUUAGGUCAUCACAUAUCAGUCCGACUGAGUGGAUUCAUCCGGUCAAACCGAAACGUCUAAUAUUAGAAUCUUUUGCAGAGGUUGGUCCCACCGAGAUUUACUUUCGGUCUCAACGAGUUAUGCAUAAAGUUUAUAACGUCUAGAUCUUUGGUGAUGGCUAUAAAUACCCCAUAAACACCAUACUCUCAGAGAGAGCAACCAAGACAAAACUACACUUGCCAUAUCCAUUUUCUGAGAGAGAACCACCUACACUUGUGUUGAGAUCAAGGCAUUCCACUCCAACCAUUUGACCCUAGAUUUCUAGCCCCCUCAAGUUGCUUUCCACUUCAAUCCUUCUCCCAUCACCAUGCCAAAUUUGUGAGAGAGUGAUUGAGUGUUGUGGAGACUAUCUUUUGAAGCACAAGAGCAAGGAGUUCAUCAUCAACAACAACAUCUAUUACCUUUUGGAGAGUGGUGUCUCCUAGAUUGGUGAGGUGUCACUUGGGAGCCUCCAACCUUGUGGAGUUGAACCAAAGAGUUUGUAAGGGAAAGGAGAUCGCCUACUUCGUGAAAAUCCACCCUAAGUGAGGCUAGUCCUUGGGUGUAAGUCAUGGUGGAAUAGACAAGGUUGCUUCUUCGUGGACCCUUCAUGGGUGGAGCCCUCUGUGGACUGGCACAACCAUUACCCUUCAUGGGUUCAAGUCUCCAUCAACGUGGAUGUACAAUUAGCAUCACCUAUCAGAACCACGCCAAAAAUCACGUGUCUUCAUUGCGUUUGAUAUCUUUGAUCCCAACCUUUACGUUCAUAUGCAAAGUCUUUACUUUCUUCUACCUACUACUCUAGACUUGCAUGUGUAGAUUGUUGUUUGACUUGUGAUUGUUGCUAAAACUUGCCUACAACUAAAAUUGGGAAAAGGCUAGGUUUUUGUUUGUCACAUAGUCUAAUCACCCCCUCUAGACCUACUUCGAUCUUACACAAGCUUCACAUAGUUCAUGGAUAUUACAAAUUUAAAGUUUACUAAUCAAAUUAUUCAAAUUCAAACACACAAACGAGUCAUAAUGAAGAAAGAGCAUGACAGAAGCACAACCAUCAAGUGAUAUGGAGUGCACAUUGAUGCUCAACAAAAUCAUCUUGGAGUUAGGUAUGAACUUCUUGGUUUUUAGUACGUUAUGCGAUGUGGGAAAUCUCUGUAUCCUUUUUGGAUGGUGUUCCACCUCAACAGGAUCUCCAUUGGAAAUGUACCUUAAGUUUUCUGGCAUGACUCUAUCAUCUUCAAUGUUCAUGUUAUGCAAGAUGAUUCAACAUGUCAUAACUUUUGAUAGGAUUCGUGGGUUCCAAUACUCGACAAUGCCAUGAAUAAUGGCAAAAAGCAUCUGAAGCACACUAAAAGAUCUCUCUUCAUCCUUUCUUGCUGACUCUUGACACAUUGCAAAGUGGGAUCUCUUGUUGCCUUGAGGAAGCGGGGUUGUCUUCACAAAGUGCCCAUGGAGGAUAGAUACCAUCUACAAGGUAGUAGCCCAUCUUGUACAAAUGACCAUUGCCAACAUAACUGCAAGGAGGAGUAUCUUCAGCAACAAGCCUUCCGAACAUUAUUGAUCUCGACAACACAUUUAGGUCAUUAUGAGAGCUAGACAAUCCAAAGUAUGAAUGUCAAAUCCAUAGAUCCUCUGAUGCAACUGCCUCAAGAGAUUCCUUGAUCUUUGGACUGACCUUUGUAGUGAUUUUUCCUUCCCACAAGACAAUUUUUCCAUGUAUAGUGAAUGCAAUCAAUUGAUCCAAGCAUCCCAGACCAUCCUCGUUCUUUACUCAAACCCAAGACUUUCUUGGUGUCUUCAUCAUUGGGUGCCCUCAAGUACUCCAGCUCAUAGAUCCCAAUCACGGUUUGUGUGUAUCUUUGAACGACCUCGAAGAUUGAAUCUUUCUCAAUGCAGAAAUAGUCAUCAAUGGCAUCGACCGAACACGGGCAAGCACUUGAACAACUGCGACACACUUCAUCAAUGGGCUCACACUUAUCUCCCGAUGCCCUCCUACUUAGUUUAAACCAUGGAUCAUGCUUCUCCGCAACUUUUGCAAUGGUGAGGAAGAGACUUCGAUGCGUUCGAAAUCACUGAAGGAAAUACUUCUUCGGAUAGGUUGAAUUGGGAUUGAAGUAAUCCUUCAUAAGCUUCUCUAUUUUGAUUGAUGUACAAAUGACCGAACCGUGGUCCUAGUCUUGAUCACUGAAAGUUCUUGUUAACGAUCAUGAUAAUGGCCUUUUAAAAUCAUCAUCGUCUUCUUCCUUGUCGUCCGACAAAGAUUCGUCAAAGAACAUCGCAUUCUAGGUUGAAUUUGAUAGCAAAAACAGGGAAAAAUAGUGAAAAAGCCAAAAAAAAAUGCACCUAGUAAAUUCUUCAAACACUUUGCGUGCGGAGGAGGUGAGAGCCUUGGCCGGCGAGGUUGAAGCGAUGCCAAGGCUAGGGGUGGACGACAGGGCUUUGAGCUGGAAGAUUCUCCUGAAACCGUGCUCGCCGGUCGCUCGCCAAGUUCGUCGUGGCCGAAUUGCCUUGUUUGGAAUUUCGCCAGCCUUGCUAUGAUUUUGACGCCGCCUAGCUCCUCCGUGGCUGAUUUGCGUCAUAUUCGUUAUUUGCUAGGUCCAUUUUGGAACAACAAGCUCGAUGGUUGGUUUUUUCAUCCACGGGCUCAAAGUGGCGACGCCAGGGAUAUGUGUCAAUUUCGGUGACGGUGACGAGCGGCGGGCGAAUCGAAGUGCGGGAUGGCGGCGGAGGCUACUACAUGUGGACGCCGGAGGUAACACCAACGUCAAUGCAGUGCCAGCGGGGGGAGAUGGCCGGCGCGGGCGCGGAUCGAAAUUAUCCUGAGAAGUGGUUGUGGCCGAGUAUAUUUGAGGGCCAGCCAACGCGGGACUUAUAAUUUUUGAAGAGUUACACCGGAUAAGGGUUUGUCAGGUUGAAAUCCACAAAUUUAAAAAUAUAAGGAGUUAAAGUUUUUUAAAGAAUCAGCUAGCAUGCUCUAAAUGUUGCUAAACAGACUGUCAAACGUCAGCUUAAAAUGUGUUCAGGACCUUUCCUGAACACGUCGACUCUUUGUUUGCAUGCAUAAAAGAUACAUAAUUUAUUUUGCGGUUAAAAGAAGAUAUUUAAGUUUGUAAUUUCAUGGGUGGGUACAUAGGUAGGUAUGUACGUCUUCAAGCUUAGGAUGCAUGCAUGUGGUAUACGUAAGUACCAUACUAGCUAAUGUUCGUACAGAUAGAGAAUCCCGGGAAAAGGCAGGGAUUGGAGUCUUGUACCUGAAGACUGCCCCAGGAAAGCGACCAACCCUAAUUAUUGCACAGGGAAUUCGAUGCACCAUCCAAAUANNNNNNNNNNNNNNNNNNNNNNNNNNNNNNNNNNNNNNNNNNNNNNNNNNNNNNNNNNNNNNNNNNNNNNNNNNNNNNNNNNNNNNNNNNNNNNNNNNNNNNNNNNNNNNNNNNNNNNNNNNNNNNNNNNNNNNNNNNNNNNNNNNNNNNNNNNNNNNNNNNNNNNNNNNNNNNNNNNNNNNNNNNNNNNNNNNNNNNNNNNNNNNNNNNNNNNNNNNNNNNNNNNNNNNNNNNNNNNNNNNNNNNNNNNNNNNNNNNNNNNNNNNNNNNNNNNNNNNNNNNNNNNNNNNNNNNNNNNNNNNGUAUGGGAAUAGAGAGAUCUAGACAGAGAGAGAGAGAGAGAGAGAGAGAGAGAGGAAUCUUCUUAGCUUCCUGCCCACUUCCUCAAAAAGCUAGGAGUAGUAGCAGCAGGGGAGAUUCUCACUCACACCGCUCUCUUUCUCUCUCUAAAGCACACCCCAUGUCUCCUCCCUUUUGUCCUUCUUUGUGUGUGCUGUAUGUUGAUACCCUCCAAAGCCUAAGAUAUUCCUUGCUUCACCCAUGCUAAUAUAUUCCCUUGUGAAUGCAAAGUGCACCGCCAGUGCCAGUACGUGGUAGUUCUUGAGGCAUAUACACACAUGUGUUCUUGCACACACAAACUGCUAAUAUGAGCCAUGGUAGUGAGGAAGAAGAAGGGGAGGAGCUUGUGUGUGAAGGGAUGCGCCACCCUUUUCAAAGCAAAGAGGGAAGAAUCUUUGCAUAUCUUUGAGGGCUUGAAGUUGUGUGUGGAGUAUAUGCUUUAGCACCCCUUUUACCAUGUCCUCUCCGUUGAUUAAUCAUGCAGGAAUCAUUCACUGGAACUGGAACCCCAGAAAACAAAAGGUGGCCACUGUGUGUGCGAGCAUCUCUGCAUGAUAUGGUUUCUUUGGACGUGAUAAAUUAGGUUUAUGAUGAAUUUGCUUGCCUCCUUUUGGUUUUUGUUAGUGCAAGUAGCAGAGGAUGAUGUGAUUCCCAUCCCGGCUAGCUAGGUAUAUCUGGUGAUUAUCCCUUCGUGUGCGUGUCUGAAACCAUUCAAUAUUGUUAAUGGUAAAGGUAAAAAUAUUCUUCAAGACACCUUGCUGGUUCUCUCUUGGACUUGCAAGGUUCUCUUUGGACUACUUUGAGGCGGUCACCUUUAAUUCUUUUGAAUCGGGAGCACCGAGAGAAACUAAGCUAACUUCCUGUGGGUGAUGGGUUGAUUCCCUGCCGUAAAAACGAUUGUAAAGUUUAACCUAUCACAAAAAUGAGGCAUCCAUGUGAAAAGAUUGACCAAGGAAAAUACAUCCAUGUGGCGCUGGAUGGGUGGUCAGACUUUCAGCAUGACAAGACAUAGCCAACAAACCAAAGGUUCCUAGAUUUUCAUGCAUGUAAGAUGUCCAGAGAUGUUUGAUAAGAGGGUGCUGCAUGUAUAUGCUACUUUCAAGGACGUACGUAUAUGCUAGGUUCAUUUGAUCUUCCUAUUAAGAUGGUAGCUGGACAAGGAGAGAGAGAGUGAGACUCACUGUAUGUUACGGCCCACCCUGCCACUGCUAUGAAGAGCCCAGCGGGAGACGAGGCCCAGGAACCAGGCAAGAGGGUGAGAAGGCCCAGCGAGCGCUACCCAGCCCACAAGUGGGUGACCUAGGCUACUUAUCGGGAGGAGUCUCUGGAGGAAGGCAGGCAGGAUUUAGUUGGCAAUUCUUCGGCGGCGGCGGCUUCCUUCCCCUCCCCCUCUCUUUAGAACCCUAGUUACUUCAGAUUUGGUGUAGUUCCGAGACAAUCUUGUAUUAGAUCCACUGAGAGCGUAACAUUUUGGUAAUCAGAGCCUUCUUCCACCACUCCACCAAUCGAUCGAACCUGGCGGGGCGUUUUCCCUCGAUCAUCCAGACGAGAAGCGGCAAGGCCAUCACCAUGGAAGAGCACAGCAAGGCGCUGGCCGAUCUGACGGCGGCUAUCGCCGCGAUGACGGCGAAGAUCGACGACAUCCAUCCGGUCGUCCUCGAGUUCCAAGGAUGGAGACCGACGAUCGAGCAAUCAGUCGAGGAUCUGCGAGCGGAGGUGGGCGAUCUGCGCGCGCAACUGCGGGAUAAGGGCAAGGCGACGGAUCCCGCCGUGCUGUUGCGCGCUCCUCCACCAACAGGCCCUUCGCAAGCGCCGUCACAGCACCAGCCGCCCCUGCUCCUUCAACCACCUCCGAUCCGGCUGGUGGAUCUGCCGCCAAUUCCCGGUCAUGUGGCGGACGAGCCCUUCCAUCGGGUGGGGGAGCCACUACCGGCUGCGGGUGGCGACGGCCACGGGCCAAUGGGCCACGACAGGGCUACCAUCCACCGGGGGAUGUCACCGGGGGAGCACACCCCGAGGGCGCCUCCGGUCACGGGUACGCACAAUUCUCAGUUUCCAUUCGGGGAGAGUUCAUUCUUUGGGGAGCGCAACUAUCACAGAUUUCCACCACCACCGCGUUUCGAUUUUCCGCUGUUCGAUGGGGAUGGCCCUCGAGCUUGGCGGCUGAAAUGCGAGGCGUAUUUCAGAGUGUGUACCCUUAGCCCAGAUACAUGGGUGAGCUGCGCCGCGAUGUACUUCAUCGACGGGGCUUUAUCUUGGUUGCAAUCUACCAAGGCUCACAUGAUAUACACUGAUUGGGGCACUUUUGCCGAAGCGGUCUGUGUGCAGUUCGGGCGCGAGGAAUUCCAGUCCCUCUUGCGUCAGUUUAACAGGCUGCGACAGAGUGGCUCGGUGGCUGAGUACGCCGAAAAAUUUACCCAGUUCAUGCAUAACCUUACAGCACACCAUGAGUCUUGGAAGCCCUCAUACUUUGUCACGCAUUUCAUCGAUGGGUUACAAAAAGAAAUUCGAGCAGCUGUGGUUUUACAUCAACCAAAAUCUCUCGAUACUGCCGUCGACCUUGCUUGUUUGCAGGAAGAAGUACUGGAGGCGAUGCGCCGCGAGGACAAAUGGGAGGAGCGGCGCUACUCAGCGCCCGCUACGUCGCGAGCGGUGCCCCGGACGGCGCUGCCCCUUCCACCGCCACCAACCACCGCGCCACCCAAGCAGCCGGUCACAUCGGAAGCGCGCAGUACCGAUCGCUGUGCGGUGGAGGCAGCACACCCACCACCACCGGAGGACAAGAUGGCGACGCUGCGAGCGUACCGCCGGGCGCGCGGCCUCUGUUUCACCUGCGGCGAGCGGUGGGGGCGCGAGCAUCGCUGCGGACCGACAGUGCAGCUUCACGUGGUGGAAGAACUGUUGGACAUGAUGCGCAGCGAACCUGGUCUCAGUGGUGAAGAAACGUCCGGCGAAGCCACGCCAAGUGAACAAGAAGCUGAUUGUUGUGUCAUCUCCAAGGAGGCAAUGGAGGGCGCUGAAUCCCCUACUACCAUGAGACUCCAUGGGUGGGUUCAGGACCGCGAGGUACUCAUGUUGGUGGACUCAGGCUCUUCUCACAGCUUCGUCAGUGAGACUCUGGCAGAUCAUUUGCAAGGGGUGCAGCAGGCUCAGAGCGCCAUAACGGUGCGGGUUGCAAAUGGAGGUGUGAUGCGCAGCGACAAGGAACUACCAGACUAUCAAUGGCAUACUCAAGGGGUGACCUUUACUACCAACCUCCGAGUGCUUCCUCUGGGCAGUUAUGACAUCCUUCUAGGGAUCGACUGGUUGGAGCAGCACAGCCCGAUGAAAGUGCACUGGAAGGAGAAAACCAUGAGUUUUGAUUAUGUGGGGAAGCGGGUACACUUGCAAGGGGCUCGAGCGGAUACCACUCAGUGCCAACAGCUGUCCAGCAAGGAGUUAGAUGCGCUGCUGCAGCGUGCCGGGGUCGCACGGGUGGUGCACUUGUGUGCCAUGGGAACGGAAGAGAUCCAGGCCACCGAAUUACCAGUUCCUCCAGCCAUUUCCGACCUUCUGCAAGAGUACAACCACCUGUUUGCUGAGCCGAGCGGCUUGCCGCCACGACGCGCUUUCGACCACACCAUACCUCUGCUACCUGGAGCGCGCCCGGUCAACAUCCGACCAUACCGCUAUAGCCCGGCGCAGAAGGAUGAGAUUGAAAGACAGGUGGCAGACAUGUUGGCGCAAGGAAUUAUCGUACCCAGCACCAGUCCGUUUGCUUCACCAGUUCUGCUGGUACAGAAAAAAGACCUAACAUGGCGUUUUUGCGUGGAUUAUCGGCACCUCAACGCAGUGACAGUUAAGAACCGGUUCCCUCUACCGGUGAUCGAUGAGCUCCUGGAUGAACUUGCGGGGUCCAAGUUUUUCACCACCUUAGACCUGCGGUCGGGGUACCAUCAAAUUCGUAUGAAGCCCGAGGAUGAGCACAAAACUGCCUUCAAAACCCACCACGGCCACUUCGAGUUCCGGGUUCUUUCCUAUGGACUGACAGGCGGUCCGGCGACUUUUCAAGGGGGAAUGAACAUUGUUCUGGCACCAGUCAACCGGAAAGGAGUCCUGGUUUUCAUUGAUGACAUCCUGAUUCACAGCGACACCCUGGAACGACACAUCCAGCUCAUGCGGCAAGUGUUCCAGCUACUUAACGAACACCAACUGAAGAUCAAAUUGAGUAAGUGUUCAUUUGCCAGAACCAGUCUCACCUAUCUGGGGCACGAAAUUAGUGCAGAAGGAGUAAGGACCGACGGCAAGAAUGUGGCUGCAGUUCAGAAGUGGCCAACCCCGACAAAUGUCAAAGAGGUACGCGGGUUCCUUGGAUUAGCAGGCUACUACCGCAAGUUCAUCAAGAACUUUGGCAUCAUCAGCCGGCCACUCACGGAUCUGCUCAAGAAUAACACGGUUUUUCGGUGGACUGAGCUCGAAGCCGCAGCGUUCCAAGAGCUCAAAACUGCACUAGUCACUGCUCCGGUGUUAGCCCUACCGGAUUUCUCGAAGCCGUUUGAGCUUGAAACAGAUGCCUCGGACCGGGGCAUUGGAGCAGUGUUGCGCCAAGGUAACCAUCCAGUGGCGUUCCUCAGCAAAGCUUUGGGUCCCAAGAACCGUGCCUUGUCCACCUACGAAAAAGAAGGCCUGGCAAUCCUUAUGGCAGUGGAGCAAUGGCGUAUUUAUCUGUAGAGUGACGAGUUUGUGAUCCAUACAGACCAACGCAGCCUGGUGCACCUUGAAGAUCAGCGCUUGGCUACACCCUGGCAGCAGAAGAUUAUGGCGAAGCUGCUGGGUUUGCGCUACAGGAUUGUGUACAAACGGGGAGAAGACAACCGAGUGGCAGAUGCCCUGUCACGUCGACCCGGGCCACUGCAAGGGGACCUGGCCACAGUUACCGUGGUAGUGCCGAUCUGGCUUGAAGCAGUGCAGCAAGGGUACAACACUGACCCAGCAGCUCAAAAGUUGCUUGCACGUCUAGCUACUGAACCCAAUGGCCACGACGGAUUCCUUCUUCAGAACGGCAUCAUCAAACACAAUGGGCGCGUGUGGCUCGGGAACAACGUGCCCCUGCAGAAACAAGUCUUGACAGCCUUACACUCCGGCGCGAUCGGCGGUCACUCAGGGUUCAAUGCCACCUACCGUCGAGUCCGCCGGCUGUUCACUUGGCCGGGCAUGAAGCAACACGUGAAACUGCUGGUGGAAGAAUGUCAGGUUUGCAAGCAAGCAAAACCCGAACGGGUCCGUUACCCAGGACUGCUGGAACCCCUACCCGUGCCCAAGCAAGCUUGGGAGCUUAUCACCAUGGAUUUCGUUGAAGGGCUGCCGCAGUCGUCGCGAUACAACAGCAUCAUGGUGGUCGUGGACAAGUUCUCGCGGUACGCACAUUUCAUCCCAUUGUCGCACCCCUUUACGGCGUUUCAAGUUGCCCUUGCAUUCGUCAACAACAUAUACAAGCUUCACGGAUUGCCGGAGGCCAUCGUCUCGGAUCGAGACCCAAUUUUCACCAGUACCAUGUGGAAGGAACUGUUCAGGUUGACUCACACGGAACUGCGCAUGAGCACGGCACGGCACCCCCAAACCGACGGGCAGUCCGAGCGAGUAAACCAAUGCUUGGAGACAUACUUACGCUGCUUUGUGCACGCCUGUCCGUCCAAGUGGUCUGCAUGGUUGGCUCUCGCAGAGUUCUGGUAAAACACCUCACCGCAUUCAGCCUUGGGAACUUCUCCGUUUGAAGCGCUGUAUGGUCACGGCCCUCGGCAUUUUGGCAUUCUAGACCCGAUGGCAUGCGCUGCACCGGACCUUCAGGAUUGGCUUCAGGAUCGAGCCCAGGUGGAGGCGCUGCUACGGCAACAUCUGCUUCGUGCACAGCAGCAAAUGAAAGAAUCUGCGGACAAGCGGCGAUCAGAUCGAGCAUUUGAAGUGGGCGACUGGGUGUUCCUCAAGAUCCAGCCCUACUUACAACGCUCCCUGGCCACCAGAACUAACCAGAAACUGUCUUUCAAAUACUUUGGCCCCUUUCAGGUGAUUCAACGGGUGGGUUCGGUGGCGUACAAGCUCCAGCUUCCGGACAAGUGCUCCAUACACCCCGUCUUCCACGUCUCUCAAUUACGGCGCGCCUUACCACCAGCUGAGAAGGCCCUCGAAGACCUACCCACGGCCGCUGCGCCAAGCCCUGAGCCAGUGGAGAUCCUGGCCAGCCGGCAACGUCUCCGAGGCACGACCCCAGUGCAGCAAGUACUGGUGAGGUGGACUGAUCAGCCAGCCUCAUUGGCAACCUGGGAGGAACGAGACGAGUUGCAUCGACACUACCCUGAAGCUCCANNNNNNNNNNNNNNNNNNNNNNNNNNNNNNNNNNNNNNNNNNNNNNNNNNNNNNNNNNNNNNNNNNNNNNNNNNNNNNNNNNNNNNNNNNNNNNNNNNNNNNNNNNNNNNNNNNNNNNNNNNNNNNNNNNNNNNNNNNNNNNNNNNNNNNNNNNNNNNNNNNNNNNNNNNNNNNNNNNNNNNNNNNNNNNNNNNNNNNNNNNNNNNNNNNNNNNNNNNNNNNNNNNNNNNNNNNNNNNNNNNNNNNNNNNNNCCUGCCACUGCUAUGAAGAGCCCAGCGGGAGACGAGGCCCAGGGACCAGGCAAGAGGGUGAGAAGGCCCAGCGAGCGCUACCCAGCCCACAAGUGGGUGACCUAGGCUACUUAUCGGGAGGAGUCUCUGGAGGAAGGCAGGCAGGAUUUAGUUGGCAAUUCUUCGGCGGCGGCGGCUUCCUUCCCCUCCCCCUCUCUUUAGAACCCUAGUUACUUCAGAUUUGGUGUAGUUCCGAGACAAUCUUGUAUUAGAUCCACUGAGAGCGUAACACUGUACAUACAGUACAAAGACCAAAAACCACAUGACCCCAGCUGUGUCAUGCGUGGUCGCCUUGCUACGGCUAUAUCCUACUGCACCACCUUGUGGUACAUGAAACCUCCUGCAUGCAUGCAUGCAUGCAGAGGAUUAGCUUUUGGCCCCUUUGAUCUUUGCAAGAAGUUACCAUGCCCUUGGCUUUAUCCCUCUAGUCUAGUCUGCAGUUCUGGUGGUCUACAGUACCUAGAUCAAAGUAUCAAACACACACAUACAUACAGGGAGAAACUUUUCCUUUUCACCCCCUCUAAAUCCGACUUUAUUCUCUCUACCCUCCCAGAAAUCACCCUUAAAAACAAGCCGAUUCCACCCCGAUCCCCCCAUCCACACACACACCCCUGAUAUCUAAGCAGGAGUAAUAUACUGGAGCUUCCCUAGCACCUCACUAGCUGCACCACUUCACACACAUGGAUUCCUCGCCGUCUGACCUAACCCUAGACUACACGCCCAGCGGCAACGGCGCGGCGUCUGCCGGCGGCGGCUAUCCAAAGCAGGCGUCGCCGGUCGUGGACCACCACCAUCAUCUCUCGGCGGAGCAGGCGACGACGCAGAAGCUGCAGGAGUUCCUGGCCCGCCUCGACGACGAGCGGCUCAAGAUCGACGCCUUCAAGCGCGAGCUCCCGCUCUGCAUGCAGCUCCUCAACCAAGGUAAUUAACGUGCCGAACUGCCCAUGCAUGUGUGCUUACGUGGAAGGCGAUGGAGCUCUGCCUGACUGAAUAAUGUAUGUGUGGGUGGGUGCAGCUAUGGAGGCGUACAGGCAGCAGCUGGAGGCGUGCCAGAUGGGGAGCCAUGGCGGCGCGGCGGCGAGGGCGCCGCUGGUGCUCGAGGAGUUCAUACCGCUGAAGAACAUCGGGAUCGACGCGGCGGAGAAGGCGGCCGGGAACGCGCCGUCGGAGAAGGCGAACUGGAUGGUGUCGGCGCAGCUGUGGAACGGGCCGGCUGCGGGAGACGCGGCGGCCAAGGGCCCGCAGACUCCCAAGGAGCGCUCGGAGCACCCGCUGGACACGAGCCCCAUGCUGGGCGGGCUCGACGGCGGCGGCGGCAACGGCGUCGGCGCCUUCCUCCCGUUCACCAAGGAGAAGGCCUGUAUGGCGGAGAGUGCGGCGCUGCCGGAGCUCGGGCUCGCGCCCGCGGAGAAGGACCGGGAGGCUGACAGAAAGCCGUACCACGACGACGGCGGCAGCAACGGCACUGUAGUCUCGCGGAGAGACGUCGGUGCACCACCGACGUCUACGGCGCCGGAAGGGCAGUCGGUGCCGCCCGCUCCGCAGACGAACCGGAAGGCCCGGCGGUGCUGGUCGCCGGAGCUGCACCGCCGCUUCGUCAAUGCCCUUCAAAUCCUGGGCGGCGCUCAAGGUAUUCACACAGACGUCCUCAUGUAAUGAUCUACUGUAGUAACUAUUUGGAUGCAUCAAAUUAACCUGCUGAGUCUGAAUGAAUUACGUGUGUGCCCAAGACAAAUUCUAAAUCUCUUUUGUUGUUUGCAAAUUGAUUAAAGUGGCGACCCCGAAGCAGAUCCGCGAGCUCAUGAAGGUGGAUGGAUUGACCAAUGAUGAGGUGAAAAGCCAUCUCCAGGUAAUUAUAAUCUCAUCAUACGCAUCUUGCAUUCUCUCUUCGUACGUUCCAGUAAUUAUGCAUGCUGCUGCUUUAAUUAUGAGUAGAACGAUUAACUGAUUAUUAUAUGAACACAUGACACAUGGGUGCGUGUGUAUCUAAAUUGAAGUUUUUGUUUGUGUUGCGAGCAGAAGUACAGGUUGCACACGCGACGGCCGAUGCCGGCGCCGACGGCGCCGCCUGCGGGGGCGCCGCAGCUGGUGGUUCUUGGGGGCAUAUGGAUGCCGCCGGACUACGCGGCGCAGGGGGCUGGACCGACCGCCAUCUACGGGGCGCACCCGGCGACGCAGGCGCACUACACGGCGGCGGUGUCGGCGCAGGAGUACUACCAGAACGCAGCCGCGGCCGCCCACCACGGCCACCACAUGCAGCACCACCAGGCGGCCUCCAUGGUGCACCACCGCGCGGUGGCACCUACGCCACCGCAGACCGCCUACAAGGUGGACCCGGUGUCGGCAGCAGGGUCCCAGGGGUCGUCGGAGGGCCGGCGUAGCAGCGGCGGCGGCAGGGAGAGGUCGGAGAGCAUCGAGGAGGAGGGCGAGGAGCGGGAGGACGAGGAGGACGAGGACGAGGACGGCAUGGCGGCCAACGGCGACGCCGAGCAGAUCAACUACUAAUUAAACGGAUCAAUUAAGUAGCGCGCGCACCAAUUAGCUAGUAGCCCCUAAUUAAGAAGUUGGUAUAACGAGAUUGUUUUCUGUCCGGAAAGUGAUUUUUUGGCGCGGAGAACGGAAGCCGGUCUCUGGCUUGAGUGGAGCAGCGGGAGCCUGAGAUUGUCUCAUUCGUGAUGUGAUCGAUAUACGGAUGGAUUUGUGAGGCCUUUUCUCUCCUUCUUUUUUCUUCCCCUUCCUCUUUUGGGCUUUGUUUUUGUGCUAGCAAAUAAUUUGGUAAAUAUUUCAUGAUGGAAAUAUAUGACUAGCUUUGUAAACUUGGUUGGAGGGGAAAAUAAUACUCCCUCCGUUCCUAAAUAAUUGUCUUUCUAAAGAUUUCAACAAGUGACUACAUACGGAGCAAAAUGAGUGAAUCUACACUCUAAAAUAUGUCUACAUACAUCCGUAUGUUAUAGUCCAUUUGAGAUGGCUAGAAAGACAACUAUUUGGGAACGGAGGGAGUAAUUAUUAAGGAGAUCAGUGUACUGAGCUUUAGGGCUGUGUUUGUUCCUUGAUUUUAAAGUUCAAUAAACGGUGUGAAUUGUCAGUAAGCAAUAGUGGAAGACCAUUUCUUUUAAGUGCUGAAUAAUUGAUUCCAGAAUUUCUCUGGUUUGUGUAAUAACCUGUCUCAGUAUUUUUACCUCUCGGGUGGAUGUUCUCCUGAUAUCCAAAGUGAAUUCCUUUCACUUUAAAAAAGAUGAACUUUUACUCUGUUUGCACCAAAGUUUACAAAGAUGGAUGAUAUAACACUAUAACUUGUUGCAUAUAAAUACAGAAAUUCAACAAAUUUCUCAUCAUUUUGUAACUGGAAAUGUACAUUUCGCUUGUUUGAUGGACCCAUAUGUUUGUAUCCAAAAAAUACGCGAGAGAAGUGUCUGCAGUUUUUAUUCCACGGACAAAAAAUAUUUCAAACAUUUUACAAAUUUCUAGUUUCUUACUAGAGUAAUAACUUGUUUUUUUCUUCAUCCAAACAAAUUAACUUUCAUGAUUAAAGUUUUUUUAAAGGGGCACCUUCCCACGGUAAGGCAAAUGUAGUCUCGCACAAAACCCAAACUUCUCCGGAUAAACUAUGCGAUGCAGUCACUAUGCGAUGCAACAAUCUAGAACCAUCUGUCAGCAUCCCGGAAAAAAACUAGAAGAAUUAAAAGAGCAGGGUUUUAGGAUUAUAUUUUGAGAACAAUUUCCUUUAGUACUUUUUUUUGCACCACAAGACUUGCCCUUUUUUUUAGACAAACUUGCGUUUUCUUAGAACUUCGUGGCUGACUGGCAUGUUGGUAAGGAGAGUGCCUCUGUAGGGCGUUAAGCGCUAAACUUGGGGCGCCGCUAUACGAGUCCUUCUAAUUGGCGCCUUUAGCACCGGCCGGGAGAAGUUUCAAAAGAAAAAAAAAACACCGGUCGGGAGAUGUCGCGCUCAUGCGCCAGCUUAGCGGGCCGCGGCCCAUAGCGCUCUCCCGGUUUGCUCGCUUCGUUCCACUCACUGGGCCACCGACAAUUGACAGCGAGGAGUUGACUAGUGAAGUGGCACCCAACAUUGAAUUUCGGACAACAUGACUUAGAAAAAAAGAGUUACAAAUUUUGCAAAAAGAUCACGAUUGAAAAAGAUUCAUCGAUUUUAAAAACAGUUCGUCAAAUUUGGAAAAAAGAUCAUCCGUUUGGGGAAAAAAGUUCAGCAAUUUUAUGAAGUUCACCGAUUUUGAAGAAAGUUCAAAAUUCUUGAAAGAAAAUGUGUAAAUGUUGAACAAAAGUUCAAAUUUUUGGAAUAAAAGCAUUGAUUUAUAAGAAAUCAUUAUGAAGAAAAAUUCCUCAAUUUGGAAAAAAGUUCACAGGUUUUAAAAAAGUUCAUCAAUUUUGAAAAAUAAAUCAUGGAGAAAACACGACCAAAAAACCAUAAAAAGUUCGUGCAAAAGAAUUUGAAAAAGAAAUCAAGAAUAUUGGAAUGGAAAGAGAAAGCAGAGCAAAAAAAAGAAAAUAAGGAAAAAAACGACCAAAAACCUAGCUAAAAAUGGAAGGGGAAAAACGCACAAAAACCUUCUAUUUUUUCUUCUUAUUUUAUUUCGCCAUUUUUUCUUUUCUGAUUUCUUCUUUUUAUUUUAUUAAUAUUGAAAAUUUUAUAAAUAUAUACAAUACAAAAAUUGGCUUUACAUAAAAAAUACAAAAAAAAAA